This 22-nucleotide microRNA is filed under the name Homo sapiens (human). Its description in RNAcentral is "hsa-miR-6895-3p". The record is from miRBase by way of RNAcentral. Lineage: Eukaryota; Metazoa; Chordata; Mammalia; Primates; Hominidae.
UGUCUCUCGCCCUUGGCCUUAG